Molecule: ribosomal RNA, 3511 nt
Filed under: Triticum aestivum (bread wheat)
Lineage: Eukaryota; Viridiplantae; Streptophyta; Magnoliopsida; Poales; Poaceae
Description: partial small subunit ribosomal RNA
Source: RNAcentral
CGGAGCGGAGCGGUGGCAUUCGGGCAUUGUUUGUUUAGAAAGGAGAAAAGAAGAAGGAGGACGAGGGCCAGACGGGCGGCGAUUGGGGAUGCUCGUUCGUUAGGACGGACGGGGUGUCCGUGUGGUGGGGGGGUGCCGGAGGUCUAGCCUCGACCGCUCAGGGCCUGGGAUGAUGUGGACGACGAGACUCACUCCGCCGGCCCGACCCCCAACCAGCGAAGGACCAACCGGCGGGUGCUGGUCAAGAACUAGGGCCUGACGAAGUUCGCCCGGCCCAGACCAGCAAAGAACCAACUUGACUAACCAACGACGACUGAACCAGCUAGAGGAGAAGAAGGUAACGACGAAGCAGCACAGCCGACCGGUAACGUCAACGUGUGUUCCACAAACAAACCGCCGUCCCGCCGUCGCCCGCGACGACUCGAUCCAACGAGCGACCGAAGAAGCAACCACAAUUCGCCAUACGGUCCAUCCAUCUAGACGAGCCUCCCUGCCGGUAAGCUGUCAACGACAUAGUUUCGACCUAUCUGUCCGUCUAGAACUCUCUGCGGCUAGUGACAAGACGGCGAGCCUGCCUGGGACAACUAAGCAUCGAGAGUUCGAAAUGGUACGACUCUUUAGGAACGACUCACACCUAUUUGAAGUGUAUCCUCCAAAGACUCCGACUUGGUCCGCGAAAACUGAACACUCCCGACUCCUAGUCAUUAAUUAGUUUAGUACACCUCUGGCAAGUCCGUCGAGUACGGGUUUCUCGUAAGGCCCGGAAGACCGCCGGAGCUCCCGGCUUGGUAGCUACAGCCGUUACACUUCCACGUGCAGGCCCUUCGGUAACGACUCCCACCCAAGAGCACGCACAUGGAGCGGGCCCUGGACUGGUUGGGUCGUUUCUUCAUGCGCGAGUUCGUGCAGUAACGGGUCCUGUUCCUCAGCGACCUGGACCACGUCUUCCUCUAGUGCCACUACUCCCGCGAGUUCCCCGUGGGCUUGCACCAGUGCGAGCAACGCGUGCGGUAUUACCUAUACCCGGCACCCUCCCUCCGCGAAGACGACUACCUCAAGACGCUCUCUAGCGACCAAAGACGGAACCUGUGAUCUCCAUGACGUCCCAAGAUACUACUCCUCGUCCAACGAGAGUAGAAGGCCCUACAAACGUUACGCCACAAGCGCUACGUGACGGUCUGUGGUGGACAACGAGUGUCCCUGGAUUUCCGGCUUUUACACGAAGAACCACGACUGCCCCGAACCUUUAAUACACUAAAACCAUCACAUAGUUGUUUGGUAUUCACGAAACUAUUUGGUCUCCUCUCCCCGUAACUUCUUCUACAGUAGUCUUUCGUAUGUUGAGGACGAAUAUCCCGAGGACUCUACACCCUGAACAUGUCCUCCCUUCAAUAAUCACUCUUUCAUCUAUAUACCCGAGAACCUACAGAGUACAUAUCUUAGACGAUGAAUUUUAGUCGAAAACCAAAUCUUAGUUUCGAAGUCUAGGAGUUACCCUUGAUAGCAUAGGGACUUAAUGGCUUCAUGACAAGAAGGUAAUGUUCAGACUAGCUUCUCUACGAAGUCAGGAGAGGUCUACGGUCUGGUCUGUAAUGUGUCCAUACCAAAGCACAAUUACUCAAUGAAGGAAACCUCGACGUUUUCCUAAAUGGACUACCUAGGGGUAGACCUAGUCGUAAACUUAACGUUUGAUGACUCCUACUUCCUGGAAGAAGUAGUGCCAGUUCUCUGUUACACUCUUUAUGUGGAGGCUUUCCAGGAAGGUAAAACUCCAGUGUUCAAGGACGACUCUCAUUCCCAAGACGUCCACGUAAAACCAGUUGAGUUGUACGUGUUCUUGAUCGAAAACGCCUACUGUUCCCCAGUCAAGAUCUAGUUCUCGGGUAUGUACUACCGUAUCGUUUCGUUGGAGUCCGUUUCUUGGUCUUGUGUUGUGCCUUACGUAUGUCUGUCAGAGAAAGACGAAGACAACUAUCAAGAGGACCCCUAAAACUUUAUUCCAAAAGAGGUUUACCAAGUCUUAUACCGGAUCUCUUUUGGGUUUUGUGAUUUGGUCUAUUGUUUUGGUCACGUGUCUGACGGUGAAAAUCGAGGAAACACCGUCUGAAACUAUUACAAUUCCACUCGAGUCUCCUGUUACGGCCAUCAAAUUUGCGCCGUUCAUUUAACUUUCCUGUUGUCGACCUCCGGCUUCAUUGAAAUGAGUUCCUCGUUAACUUCUAUCGUUUGAAUCUCUUCCUUCUUUAGAGUGACUUCAAACUAUCUAACAGUCGGUAAACGAGGAGAGUCUCCGCCCUCUAUGUCCUUGAAUUUGUUCGCGAUCGGUGUUGAAGACGUGGUCACGGUCAAUUCCUCAACUUUCUUUUAAACUUCCGACUUAAGAGGGGUGGGUCGUGUUCGGAACUGUGAGGCGGUUCCCUCUUCUAACGUCCUUGGGGUGGUCUCGAGGCCGUUCCAGAUAAAUGUAGUUCAGGUCCCUGUCGUUCGGGUCUAGGGUUCGGUACCAGGCGAAAGGGACUUCUCGGCUUUCGAGUUCGUCGACAUUUUUCACGGGUGGGCUCCAGCCAGGCUUGAAAUUCCCGUAGUGUUUCGUUGUUUCGGCCGAGCGAAUUAGUCAGUUUUUGUUUGAGACCACGGCUGGGGAAACGGAAGCCAGUUCUAUCGAAAUUCCGACAUGGAAGACCGUGGCACGGAAGACUCUACAGUUUAAACCCCUUACGAAGAGUCAGGGAGUUGUGAGAAUUCCGACUUCACCUCUUUCUACGUGGGAUGGUUGGUCGACCUACCUGACCCAAAAUUACACGAUAGCGGUUAUUCCUAUAAACCAUAGACUACUCUGAUAUGAGGAUAUCUUAAUGUCUUUAUACCAGGUAGGUAACAUAGUAUUAGUAUAUUUAACUCACCACAACUCUCCCUCGUUUUACUCGGGUUGGGUCCUCACGGUCUUAACUGCAUCCGGAGUAAAGAUUUGUACUUCUCAACUUUUCCCGCUUUUGGUUUCUCUCGCUCUUUACGCUUCGCUAAUGGAUUCAACUGUACGAGUAUGGGGUCAAAGCGUUCUGGUCAUAGGUGGUACCGUAGUCGAUGUGUUUGUGUUACACUAAAUAAAUAUAUAACGUCGUUACGUUCCAAACUAAAAGGACCGAUUCUCUCUUGUUCCCUCGUGGUACGAAUGGAUAAAAAGCCUAAUAGUGGAGCAGAUAGAACGUCGGCUUCACCAAGGUCGAUAAGGUGGACUUAUGUGGCACGACAGUCAAGUCGUUCUGAACUAACAACCUUUAUAAAGUACCUCUUCGUCUAUCUUUGGUCAAGAGGGACAAGCCAAAUCUCCCCGAACUUCUCCUGAGCCCAGAAGAAACCAAGUAUCCUAUCUUUAUAGUAUCCUUAUACUUUGAACAUCCUUAACUCUACAGUACAUAAGAUUUAGGAUACUUAUCCUUAUCUUUUUAUCUACAGGCAAACAAGUGUAGUAUCCUAAUAAAAAAUUCAGAUCCGAUUACAAUAAAAGGAC